GUGCCAGCCGCCGCGGUAAUACGUAGGUGGCAAGCGUUGUCCGGAUUUAUUGGGCGUAAAGGGUGUGCAGGCGGUUUCUUAAGUGAGAUGUGAAAGCCCCGGGCUUAACUGUGGGGGGUCAUUGCAAACUGGGAGACUUGAGUGCAGGAGAGGAAAGUAGAAUUCCAAGUGUAGCGGUGAAAUGCGUAGAGAUUUGGAAGAAAACCAGUGGCGAAGGCGACUUUCGGGUCUGUAACUGACGCUGAGGCAUGAAAGCGUGGGGAGCAAACAGGAUUAGAUACCCUGGUAGUCCACGCCGUAAACGAUGAGUACUAAGUGUUAGAGGGAU
RNAcentral lists this ribosomal RNA (328 nucleotides) under uncultured bacterium. Its description in RNAcentral is "bacterial SSU rRNA". It matches the Rfam family "Bacterial small subunit ribosomal RNA", at positions 505 to 832 of the family's 1533-position model. The record is from RNAcentral.